UACGAAGGGGGCUAGCGUUGUUCGGAAUUACUGGGCGUAAAGCGCGCGUAGGCGGCGAUCCAUGUCAGGGGUGAAAUCCCGGGGCUCAACCCCGGAAUUGCCUUUGAAACGGGAUUGCUAGAGUCCGAGAGAGGAUGGCGGAAUUCCUAGUGUAGAGGUGAAAUUCGUAGAUAUUAGGAAGAACACCGGUGGCGAAGGCGGCCAUCUGGCUCGGUACUGACGCUCAGGCGCGAAAGCGUGGGGAGCAAACAGG
Molecule: ribosomal RNA, 253 nt
Filed under: uncultured bacterium
Lineage: Bacteria
Description: partial 16S ribosomal RNA
Rfam family: Bacterial small subunit ribosomal RNA
Source: RNAcentral